UUUGACUUAUACCGAUAUUGCUGGCGACCCUGUUUUGUAUGGCAACUUGCCGCCGCGUGAAAUUUCUAUGAAGGAUGUUUUCCGUUCUGGUGAUUCGUCUAAGAAGUUUAAGAUUGCUGAGGGUCAGUGGUAUCGUUAUGCGCCUUCGUAUGUUUCUCCUGCUUAUCACCUUCUUGAAGGCUUCCCAUUCAUUCAGGAACCGCCUUCUGG
Molecule: ribosomal RNA, 210 nt
Filed under: uncultured prokaryote
Description: partial 16S ribosomal RNA
Source: RNAcentral